CAAAAAAAAAGAAGUCUCCAACUUAGUCCCAGAGAAGGGCUGCAAGUUACCAUAGUGCUCCAAAUUGUUGGAUUCAGAGUUGAACAUAUCAUCUUUGCAUUUGAUCAUCCAUUCGUCAUUUCCAGUCCACAUUUCACCAAUUGAUUCCAGAGCACUGCAGAAGGAAUUCAGUACCUACACAUCAAUCUGCUCGAGGGAAGGAUAGAGCGCGUGUAGAUCCUUCAGAGUCAAUAUCAACAGCUGUGGACAAUCUCCAGUCCAAAACCAGAUUAGAACCCAGUUAAUCAGAAACAAGAGUUCAACUUACCAAUGUGAAGCAAUCAGAUAGAGAGUACUACCUCAUGUACAGAUGCAGAGCCAAUGCAGGGAGACAAAUCGAGCAGGUCCCUCAAGAAAACUUCUUCCUGCGGAAAGAGAAAGGAGAAACACCAUAGCAUGCUCCAAUUGCCAUCUCCAAUCUGAAAAAGCUUUUGCAUAGCCAGCCACGAAGUUGCAUGGUAGAAUAAUCAAUAUAAUAGUUUAACUUUUUACUGGCAAUAAACUUUCUUGGGUUCAGGCAACUCAGACCAUGACGACGGAAGAAACGGAAGAUUGAGGACAAGAGAAAGAUUAUGAUAAUGAUGCUGUCUGUUGUCUAGGUCUGGCUUUGGAAAGCAUACAUGGAUACCUCUUUUCUCCUUCGUUUUCAACAGAGAGAAAAAAGAAAGUGGAAUUGG
This is a long non-coding RNA of Ipomoea triloba (trilobed morning glory), 716 nucleotides long. RefSeq lists it as uncharacterized. Lineage: Eukaryota; Viridiplantae; Streptophyta; Magnoliopsida; Solanales; Convolvulaceae. The transcript has 4 exons. The record is from RefSeq and is a predicted model, not a curated record.